CUUUUUAUUAUUAUUUAUUUUUUUUCCUUUUAUCAUUUCUCUAUGGUUGGUCGGGUUUGGUUGCUAUGAGAAAAUGCAUCUAAGAGCAUCUCCACUAGUGUUGCAUCAAAGAGACUCUCUCUCUCUCUCUCACUCUCUUGACGGAAACAACGAUUCUCUUCCCUUGAAUCAAUUGAUUUCUGACACCAAUUUUACACUUUCCCCUCUUUGAGUUGUUUCGUCGUCUUCAGCUCUUCAUUGGCCGUUGUACUUUCCAGUGACAAGAAAGAGAGAGUUCGAAGAGAGAGAGCGAGACAGAUCCUCAUCGUCUUGGUUCUUGUUUCUUCCUCGAUCUCUUGAUCUUCUCCUCUGAUUUAAGGCCUAUGUUAAAGCUGCCGAGUGUUUACUAUAAAAAUUAAUCAUUGGGAUAAUCAUUUGAAAUUAAUGGGGGUAGGGCUAGUGAUAACUGGAAGACAUUGAAGGAGAUUGAGAAAACGAUUAAAGUUUAUUGGGAUGCCAAAGAUCGUUUACCACCAUGGGUGUGGCAAACGGCUUCUCUUUACCAUUUGGUUCACACUGCUGCUCUUGUUUCUUUAUAAUUGAAGUAGUCGAGACCAGAAUCUACAUGAGAAUUAUAUAAUCUUGAUUAGUUGAUUGGGUGAUUAGAUCCAUUUGCGUUUACUGAACCAUGGUUUUGAUUUUGAAUUCCCUUUGACCAUUGAGUUUCCUUGAGCAAAGAAACUUGUCAUGUCUCACUAUCAGACUUUUAUUUAGACCUUUCACAUGAUGACGAUGAUCUUGUGUCAAGUAAAAGGCAGUUUCUUUAACAAUUCUAUAUAUAUUUGUUGAAGCAAUCAUACAUAUUUGAUGACUCUUAUUUAGACCUUUCACAUGAUGAUGAUGAUCUUGCACAAGUCAUUUGUAUUUAUAUAUGAUGUUGUUUUGCUUCUGUGCUUAGUCGAUGCCCUGCAGCAAAUCGCUACCACAUUAGGCUGUUUUUUAUAAUUCAGUCUUAAAAUAAAAUAUAUUAAGAAAGCUUCUUCUAAUUCUCUAUUUUGUGCAGAUUGGAGAUAUGCUAUGGGUUUGAAAAAUGAAGAAGAUUCAUAACCAAAAAGUAAAAUUGUGUAAAAUACUGAUGAUGAAGAUGAUUAUAAUGAUCUUGAUGAUGAGCUUGUACCAAGGAGCGUGAGCAAGAAGCUUAAAAGACAGAGGAUUCGGAAAUUGGGAAAGAGAUGUUCGUAUUUGCAGUUGAAACCUGGGUUUGCUCAUCAGCUCAUGACAAGCAUUGGUUUGGCAUCAAUUUCAGAUGCUGAUUCAAUUUCUAGAAAAUUUUCAUCAAUAAAACGGUUUAGAUUACUCAUGUUUUUGUGUGUAAAUGGUAGUGUUGGAUCUUUGUUUAUUGAUUUGUUCUUGGAUAGUUCAGUUUAUGCAAUCUUGUAAAAAUAGAUCUUUAGGUGCUAUAUGAAUUGUGUUACCUCUUUCUUUUAUAGAAGAAUCAAUGAAGAACAGUUAACUUCAUCUAA
This is a non-coding RNA of Camelina sativa (false flax), 1502 nucleotides long. The record is from RefSeq and is a predicted model, not a curated record. NCBI's taxonomy places the organism in Eukaryota, Viridiplantae, Streptophyta, Magnoliopsida, Brassicales, Brassicaceae.